This 483-nucleotide ribosomal RNA is filed under the name uncultured bacterium. RNAcentral's name for it is "bacterial SSU rRNA". It matches the Rfam family "Bacterial small subunit ribosomal RNA", at positions 1 to 507 of the family's 1533-position model. The record is from RNAcentral.
UUUAGAUCAGUGGACGUCAGGACGAACGCUGGCGGCGUGCCUAACACAUGCAAGUCGAACGGAGUGAAGCCCUUCGGACGUUUACUUAGUGGCGAACGGGUGAGUAACGCGUGAGGAACCUGCCUUUCAGUGGGGACAACAGUUGGAAACGACUGCUAAUACCGCAUGAUACUUUUGGAGGCAUCUCUGGAAAGUCAAAGAUUUAUUGCUGAAAGAUGGUCUCGCGUCUGAUUAGCUAGUUGGCGGGGUAACGGCCCACCAAGGCGACGAUCAGUAGCCGGUCUGAGAGGAUGAACGGCCACAUUGGGACUGAGAUACGGCCCAGACUCCUACGGGAGGCAGCAGUGGGGAAUAUUGGGCAAUGGGCGAAAGCCUGACCCAGCAACGCCGCGUGAAGGAAGAAGGCCUUCGGGUUGUAAACUUCUUUUAGCAGGGACGAAGGACGUGACGGUACCUGCAGAAAAAGCAACGGCUAACUACGUG